UGCUUUAAUUUUCAGUCUUUCAAUUUUAUUUUUCAAUGAUCGCCGCCUCAAUGGCCGGCUAGUUUUCCUGUAUUAAAUCAUGGCUUGACUCAACGUUACUUUUCUAUCAUGUGCAUUUGUGAAAUGUAAAGAUUUAUUUUACUUAAGAUAUCAAAGGUAGAGUUUGGUUUAACCAGAAGGUAUGAGGUUUCCAGUGAUAUUCAUAAGUUAACCAUGUGGGCUUGCCUUGUUGCCGUUUUGCCGAUUC
This 247-nucleotide long non-coding RNA is filed under the name Erythranthe guttata (spotted monkey flower). RNAcentral's name for it is "long non-coding RNA (EGUT_LNC000539)". Lineage: Eukaryota; Viridiplantae; Streptophyta; Magnoliopsida; Lamiales; Phrymaceae. The record is from RNAcentral.